GGCUCAGGACGAACGCUGGCGGCGUGCUUAACACAUGCAAGUCGAGCGAAGCAAUUUAAGUGAAGUUUUCGGAUGGAUCUUAAAUUGACUGAGCGGCGGACGGGUGAGUAACGCGUGGAUAACCUGCCUCACACAGGGGGAUAACAGUUAGAAAUGACUGCUAAUACCGCAUAAGCGCACGGUACCGCAUGGUACAGUGUGAAAAACUCCGGUGGUGUGAGAUGGAUCCGCGUCUGAUUAGGUAGUUGGUGAGGUAACGGCCCACCAAGCCGACGAUCAGUAGCCGACCUGAGAGGGUGACCGGCCACAUUGGGACUGAGACACGGCCCAAACUCCUACGGGAGGCAGCAG
Molecule: ribosomal RNA, 351 nt
Filed under: uncultured Clostridium sp.
Lineage: Bacteria; Bacillati; Bacillota; Clostridia; Eubacteriales; Clostridiaceae
Description: bacterial SSU rRNA
Rfam family: Bacterial small subunit ribosomal RNA
Source: RNAcentral